Molecule: ribosomal RNA, 603 nt
Filed under: uncultured fungus
Lineage: Eukaryota; Fungi
Description: eukaryotic LSU rRNA
Rfam family: Eukaryotic large subunit ribosomal RNA
Source: RNAcentral
ACCCGCUGAACUUAAGCAUAUCAAUAAGCGGAGGAAAAGAAACCAACAGGGAUUGCCCUAGUAACGGCGAGUGAAGCGGCAACAGCUCAAAUUUGAAAUCUGGCUCUUUCAGAGUCCGAGUUGUAAUUUGCAGAGGGCGCUUUGGAGUUGGCAGCGGUCCAAGUUCCUUGGAACAGGACGUCACAGAGGGUGAGAAUCCCGUACGUGGUCGCUAGUCUUCGCCGUGUAAAGCCCCUUCGACGAGUCGAGUUGUUUGGGAAUGCAGCUCUAAAUGGGAGGUACAUUUCUUCUAAAGCUAAAUACUGGCCAGAGACCGAUAGCGCACAAGUAGAGUGAUCGAAAGAUGAAAAGCACUUUGGAAAGAGAGUCAAACAGCACGUGAAAUUGUUGAAAGGGAAGCGCUUGCAGCCAGACUUGCCUGCAGUUGCUCAUCCGGGCUUUUGCCCGGUGCACUCUUCUAUAGGCAGGCCAGCAUCAGUUUGGGCGGUAGGAUAAAGGUCUCUGUCACGUACCUCUCUUCGGGGAGGCCUUAUAGGGGAGGCGACAUGCUACCAGCUCAGACUGAGGUCCGCGCAUCUGCUAGGAUGCUGGCGUAAUGGCUGU